CAGCCACUGGGACACCAGCAAUUUCAGGGUAGGCAACUGCCCUCUGGGCAUGUUCAGCAUGGCAUGGGUCAAAGUCCACUUAACCAAGGGAAUCAGUUAAAUCGCCAUUUAAGCCAGUUUUCUGGUACUGCAAAUAAUGCACUGUUUAAUGCUGCUCAGGUGGCACCAAAUACUCAGAUGAUUCCAAACAUGUCGGCUACAAUGUCGUCUCAACCGCUUGUGCCACGAAUGCAGUUUGGAUUAACUGGUAGCAAUCCCCAGAGGAGUCAUGCAUCCCAAAUUAUGAAUGAUCAAGUGUUUAAUAUGGGAGUGUCAAAUCCUGGUGGUAUGAUGCCCAUACAGCCGCAGCAGCCUCAACAACAGCAGCAGCUUGGUUCUCAAGGUGCAUUUGGUAAUAUGCCACCAAAUGCACAGAAUUUACAGUCCAGUAUGUUGGCACUUCAGAAUGCAUCACAAAAUCACUCCAAUUUUGUACAGCAGAGACAACAGAAUCAGCAGUAACUAUAAGUCCAUAUUAGAUGCUGUGAACACCGCACCAACCACCCUCCCCUCCUCCCAAAAAAAAAAAAAAAAAAAAAAA
RNAcentral lists this unclassified non-coding RNA (580 nucleotides) under Hevea brasiliensis (rubber tree). The record is from RNAcentral. Lineage: Eukaryota; Viridiplantae; Streptophyta; Magnoliopsida; Malpighiales; Euphorbiaceae.